This 292-nucleotide ribosomal RNA is filed under the name uncultured bacterium. Its description in RNAcentral is "partial 16S ribosomal RNA". It matches the Rfam family "Bacterial small subunit ribosomal RNA", at positions 529 to 793 of the family's 1533-position model. The record is from RNAcentral.
AGGGUGCGAGCGUUAAGUACGGUAAUUACGUGGGACGUAAAGCGCAUGCGAGGCCGGCCGUUAGUUAAGUCAGAUGUAGAAACGGCCCGGGGACCUUUAACCGUACGGUAAGUUGCUAUUUAGUAAACGUGGCGAGGCUAGAGUCUUGUAGGAGGGGGGUAGGAAUUUCAGGUGUAGCGGUGAAAUGCGUAGAGAUCUGAAGGAAUACCAGUGGCGAAGGCGGCCCCCUGGACAAAGACUGACGCUCAGAUGCGAAAGCGUGGGGAGCAAACAGGAUUAGAUACCCUGGUAG